Molecule: long non-coding RNA, 712 nt
Organism: Anguilla rostrata (American eel)
Lineage: Eukaryota; Metazoa; Chordata; Actinopteri; Anguilliformes; Anguillidae
Exons: 2
Source: RefSeq, a predicted model, not a curated record
ACGUUCGCCUCCGAAAAGGACUCGCUAGGAGGAGCGGGGACCCAGAUGGGGAAAAAGUGUCCGCAUUUUAUUUGUUUCUUGCCUGGCUGGCACCGCAUAUAAAGCACCAGGACACAGAGUCAAAUAAUGACGACAACAUAACAUGUUAUAAGGCUGGAAGUGAUUCGACCUCAAGUACUUCAGCUGUUGAAGAGACACCCACAGAAACAGUUGCUGAGGAAAACCGACAACCACCAGACAUUCCACCUUCACGCCCACCUUCACCUUCAGAAUCAUCGACAUCAAGUAGUGAGGUCAACUCACCAGUUGACCUCACCAGACCACUCAGCCAUCUCCUCUGUCCCCCCAGCCAUCUCCUCUCCCCCCAAGCCCAAGGAUGGCACAGAAGAGGAAGAGGAAAGAACAGAAUGACUUGCUUCAGAAGCAGGUUGCCCAGUUGGAGAAACGCAGGGUGGAACUGAAACAGAGACUGUCGCAGUACAACGAUGAGCUCUUCAGGUUUGGGCAAACUGCUGCAGACAUGCUGCGGAGGCUGCCGGAGGAGCACAGGGCACAGGCGAUGUUUGACAUUUACAAACUACUGUUUGAGAGGCAGCAGCAGUAAAUAUGAACAAUUGCACAAUUUAAUAUUUUGUCAGUUCCUGUUUAUACAUACUGUUUAUACACGUACUGUAAAUAUGAACAAUUACUUAAGUAAAGGAUCUGAAUACUU